GAGGUUGUAGAGAUUACAUGGUGUGAAUUUGGGGGUGUUUGGAGGUUGGCCGCCGCCGGUGGGUGAUUUCCGGCGACGGCGACGGAGAGAAGAGAGAGAAGAGAGAGAAGAGAGAAAGAGUUAUGGAGGAAA
This is a non-coding RNA of Nicotiana tabacum (common tobacco), 132 nucleotides long. The record is from RefSeq and is a predicted model, not a curated record. NCBI's taxonomy places the organism in Eukaryota, Viridiplantae, Streptophyta, Magnoliopsida, Solanales, Solanaceae.